RNAcentral lists this transfer RNA (73 nucleotides) under Anaerolineae bacterium. Its description in RNAcentral is "tRNA-Lys". It matches the Rfam family "tRNA". Rfam says of the family: Transfer RNA (tRNA) molecules are approximately 80 nucleotides in length. Their secondary structure includes four short double-helical elements and three loops (D, anti-codon, and T loops). Lineage: Bacteria; Bacillati; Chloroflexota; Anaerolineae. The record is from RNAcentral. RNAcentral also lists the same sequence under 1 other name.
GGGCCGCUAGCUCAAUUGGUAGAGCAGUUGACUCUUAAUCAACGGGUUCGAGGUUCGAGUCCUCGGCGGCUCA